GACGAACGCUGGCGGCGUGCCUAAUACAUGCAAGUAGAACGCUGAAGCCGUAGCUUGCUUCUCUGGAUGAGUUGCGAACGGGUGAGUAACGCGUAGGUAACCUGCCCGUGACCUGGGGAUAACUACUGGAAACGAUAGCUAAUACCGCAUAAGAGUAGAUGUUGCAUGACAUUUGCUUAAAAGGUGCAAUUGCAUCACUACCAGAUGCAGCUUCGGUGUAUGAGCUAGGUGGUGGGGUAACGGACCACCAAGGCGACGAUACAUACCCGACCUGAGAGGGGGAUCGGCCACACUGAGAGUGAGACACGGCACAGACUGAUACGGGAAGGAGCAGGAGGGAUUCUUGGGGAAGGGGUGGGAGACUGACCGAGCAAAGCCGCGUGAGGGAAGAACGGUGUCGGGUCGUGAAGGUCUGUUGUAAGAGAAGAACGAGUGUGAGAGUGGAAAGUUCACAAUGUGACGGUAACUUACAAGAAAGGGACGGCUAACUACGUG
This 495-nucleotide ribosomal RNA is filed under the name uncultured bacterium. Its description in RNAcentral is "partial 16S ribosomal RNA". It matches the Rfam family "Bacterial small subunit ribosomal RNA", at positions 28 to 507 of the family's 1533-position model. The record is from RNAcentral.